RNAcentral lists this ribosomal RNA (511 nucleotides) under Aeromonas hydrophila. RNAcentral's name for it is "bacterial SSU rRNA". It matches the Rfam family "Bacterial small subunit ribosomal RNA", at positions 46 to 535 of the family's 1533-position model. The record is from RNAcentral. Lineage: Bacteria; Pseudomonadati; Pseudomonadota; Gammaproteobacteria; Aeromonadales; Aeromonadaceae.
GGCUACACAUGCAAGUCGAGCGGCAGCGGGAAAGUAGCUUGCUACUUUUGCCGGCGAGCGGCGGACGGGUGAGUAAUGCCUGGGAAAUUGCCCAGUCGAGGGGGAUAACAGUUGGAAACGACUGCUAAUACCGCAUACGCCCUACGGGGGAAAGCAGGGGACCUUCGGGCCUUGCGCGAUUGGAUUUGCCCAGGUGGGAUUACCAAGUUUGUGAGGUAAUGGCUCACCAAGGCGACUAUCCCUAGCUGGUCUGAAAGGAUGAUCAGCCACACUGGAACUGAGACCCGGUCCAGACUCCUACGGGAGGCAGCAGUGGGGAAUAUUGCACAGUGGGGGAAACCCUGGGGGGGCAAUUCCGGGGGGGUGAAGAAGGCCUUCGGGUUGUAAAGCACUUUCUGCAAGGAGGAAAAGGUGACGCCGAAUCCAUGCAAAUCGUGUUUCAGAUUCCCGAAAGAACUCCCAUGAAUUCCAUGACUGCAGCCGCGGUAAUACGGAGGGUUUUUGGUGUUCC